Molecule: unclassified non-coding RNA, 384 nt
Filed under: uncultured bacterium
Lineage: Bacteria
Description: contains 16S-23S intergenic spacer region
Source: RNAcentral
UCCUCGUUUGAGCGAGGCAGUCUGUCCAGAGUGCUCCAAACUCUCGUUUGAGUGGCAACAGGACAUAGGGGUUGCGCUCGUUGCGGGACUUAACCAAACAUCUCACGACACGAGCUGACGACGGCCAUGCAACACCUGUCACCGAAUUCCUAACGGCACAAUUUCCUUUCGGAGAUCUUCUCGGGAUGUCAAACCUGGGUAAGGUUCUUCGCUUACCAACGAAUUAAACAACACGCUCCACCGCUUGUGCGGGUCCCCGUCAAUUCCUUUAUGUUUUAGUCUUGCGACCGUACUCCACAGGCGGGAUGCUUAACGCGUUAGCUUCGCUACAAGCCGGGUCGAUACGGCUUACAGCUAGCAUCCAUAGUUUACGGCGUGGACUAC